Molecule: transfer RNA, 64 nt
Filed under: Cavia porcellus (domestic guinea pig)
Lineage: Eukaryota; Metazoa; Chordata; Mammalia; Rodentia; Caviidae
Rfam family: tRNA
About the family: Transfer RNA (tRNA) molecules are approximately 80 nucleotides in length. Their secondary structure includes four short double-helical elements and three loops (D, anti-codon, and T loops).
Source: Rfam by way of RNAcentral
GGGGAUUUAGCUCAGCGGCAUAAGCACCUGCCUUGGAAGCAGGUGGUCGUGAGUUCAAUCCCUG